GAGAAACAAAGGGAGAUGUGUCGGGGAGAAACAAGACGAGGAGGCAGCUGCGACCAGCACCGCUAUGCAACAGCGAACACUUGAAGCACAAGUUUUACAGGCUGUACUUUAGUGCAGGAAAAAAAAAAUCCAACAAGCAGAGAAAGGCGCCAUUAAAUGAGAGGGAAAAGAUGCCGCUGCACGCUUACCUGGGUCCUCCAGUCGCGUCUGCGUGAGCCCCGAGCUGUUCUGGCACUGGUGACACCAAGAUCCCACUUCACAUCACCUUGUGCUUGUUGUUCUCACAGCCAAUUACUUCAGAGCUGCAGCUAUUUGAUGACAGAUCAAGCAGAAGCAUCUCUUUUUCCUGCACAUUAACUUAUAUUUCCAGAUUGUUUUUAUGUAAAUAACAUUUAAAGUCCCGUUCACAUCUAAUAUCCCUAACAGCAAAAUCCUCUUUUGCAAACACAAAUAAUCCCGAUUAACCCUCCUGAUUAACCCAGCGCACAGUGACAGACACCAUGGUGAAACUUCAAAGUCACUUUUCGGCUCCCAUUUUUUUUUUCUUUCCAUUUCAGCGUUCAGAGGCGCUCUCCUCCCCAGAAGGCAAGGGGGUCGCCGUGUGGAAAAAGCCCCCGGUGAACUGGUAGAAAUGCUAUCCCCAUUACAGCAGCAGCAGGGGUCAGGCCAUGGCAGCAAGCAUCCAAGCUGCCCAAAAUUGGCUGCAAAAUGACCAAUUACCUGAGUGAAGGCUGAGGAGAAAGGACUUGGAAAAAUAUGGCUUUUACUUAAUUCAGCUAAACUGUAAAAGAAACUAGUGUAACGGCGAUGCCUCAUACUUGCUGCAUGUCGCAGCAUCCCACCUGUUAGGAGGGAAGAUCUGCGCCUCAGGCAGGAAAUGCAUUUAUAGAUAAGUGAGAAACAGGGAUAACGUUUUGCGGCGUGACGUAACUGCUGGAAUAAUGUGAGCCGGGGGAAUUAUUACACCAAAACAAUGAUUGAUUAAACAUCUUUACAUGUAGGUCUUAUUGAAUUAAUUCCCCAGCAAAUGGAAAACAUGCAAAUUCGGCAAUUAAGUCAUUUGCCCAUGGAGAGCGCGGCUGCUUGACGUUCAGCUGCCACUGCGCCUUUAGUCUGAAACCCUUUUUAGUUUUUUUUUUCCUGUUAAGAGUUAAGUCUCCAACAAAGACAGGAAGGAGGUCAGCACUCAGCCAACACCUGAAUGCGGCUCUCUUUUUUGUGCUCCCCUUGAUCCCCACAGUCUGUGCCUGUCAUUAGUCUUAAUGAUGGAAAAUUGUCAUGUUGAUACAAGUCUUGCUCUCCCCCUCUCUUCUUUGUAUAAGUAGAAGGUGGAAGCUCCAUUUGUAACAAAGUUCUUUGUGACUAAAAGCCGUGGACAUUGCAUUUGUGCCGCGGGAGAAAAAAGGGGGCUGUAGAUGCUCUUUCCAUAGCUGGGAUAAUUAUUCCUACUGUGACCUUAAUGAUUCGCUCUGUUCAUCCUGCAUCUCAUCCACGCGCCAGGCCCUCAGCGGAGCCCCGUGUCAGGGAAUAUGAAAAACCCAUAUAAUGAAACCAUUUUGGGCUGAUGGAAAAAAGGGGGCUACUGGAGCUGCACUUGCUACAAAGACGGCUCAAUUAUAUGAGUAAUUGUGAUAAUUUUCCCUCCAUUCACUGCCUUCUCUGAAAGGUAAAAAACACAGAUGCUGAAAGGGAAAUUACUUGGACAAUAUAUAAUCUGUGAAAUGGUCACAACAGAAAAAAAGAUGACUGUAAGAAAGUGAAGGACUAUAAAUAGGUAUGUUAAUGCAGGGCCACAUAAAUACACCCUCAGAAGCUCGCAGACAUAAACAAACAGCAUGCCACUGAGUCCACAAGAAGAGAGAGAAGGGAUGGAGGAGGGGGGGAAGGCAACAAAUGACCACAAAAAAGAAGAAGGUAGAUGUGCAGCUGCCAAAAAAUUAAACCUCCUUCUUCUUCCUAUUGACGAAUUUCAGCUCCUGAAAAUGCACCCCCCAUAGUUGGCUAUCAUUUGUUGUUCUCUGACAGGAAAAGGAUAAUUAUCUCUCUCAGAGGCAGCGAGACUGACAUGCCCUUUAGACUUUGCCAUGAAUGCAGAGGCUUGAUGGAAAGCCUGAGGAAUAAUUUUGUUCUUGUGCUUUUCCUUCAUCUUCAAGAGCGUGUUUUAUUCCAAAGAACAUGGAGAUGACAGGAUUGUGGAGUGCAUUAAACCAUUUGGAUUCUUUCUGUAAAUAAGGCAUCGCUCCGUCUGUCAACGUCUAAAUUUUGGGGGGAAAAAAACCUCGAAAAUGCUUUAAAAUGUCAAUUCUGUUCCAGUGUAAGAGAUAUGGGAUAGAGAGAUGCAUAUGUUUCUUUUAAAUGCAAGUUAAACAUUGUUUUAUUUUGUUAAUAAAAAAGUAGAAGAGAGGUGUAUAGUGCUUUGUGAAAGUAUUUACAUUUUGUGACAUUUCAAUGAGAAACUUCAAUGCAUUUUACUGGGAUUUUAAGUGACAGAACCACACAAAGUAUAACUGUGAAGUGAAAGAAAAAUGACACACGUUUUUUAAUUUUUUUGAUGAAAAUACUUCAUACUUGUGACAAGUGUUUGCCUUCUGCUCCCUGUUAAACCCACUACACCCAAUUGCCAUAAGAAGACCACCUUAGGAGCAAAUAAUUGGAGAAGUUUAAAGCAGGAUUAGAAGCAGCUAAAAGACCCAUAGAAAACAUGGAGGACCUACAAAAAACACAGGAGACUCUUUUGCUCGGAUACAUAUAAACUGUGCACUCCACAAAUCAGUUUUGUUAUUGGUGAGAAGAAAAGUUUGAUGGAAAGAAAGACAUCUAGGCUUGUUUAAUAAAGAGAUGCUCUGCCCAGGUGAAACCAAAAUGAAACGUAUAUGUGAGGGAAAACUGUCAAUACAAAUCAACUUGAGAUCACCAAGGAACAUGGUGAUGGAAGCAUCAUGGUGUGGGGACGUUUUUCUCGUGCAGAAAUGCGAAAUCUCCAGUGGAUGGAGCUAAAUACAGGAUAAUCUAUGAAGAAAACUUAUAUUAGGAGGGACUUAGUCACAUGAGAAUGGCCAUUUCUCUUCACUUCAGAGUGAUGUGCUGCAUUGUGUGGGUCUAUCACAACCAUAAACGUAAACAUAAACUUACUGGUUUUAAUGU
Molecule: long non-coding RNA, 3144 nt
Organism: Xiphophorus hellerii (green swordtail)
Lineage: Eukaryota; Metazoa; Chordata; Actinopteri; Cyprinodontiformes; Poeciliidae
Exons: 3
Source: RefSeq, a predicted model, not a curated record